CCAGAAGGUGGAAUGAGCCAUGGGGGGACCCCAGAAUGUGGAAGGAGCCAUUGGGGACCCCACAAAGGUUUGGGGUGCACGGCUGACCCCCAUCCCCUCGGCAGGGGCGGCCGUGGGGACCGCACGGGGCGUUACGGGGGUGCCCCACCCCUCUCCGAGGACGGCUCCCGCAGCCAGCGCGACCACGACUAUCGCGACAUGGACUAUCGCGGCUACGGGGGACCCCCGGAGGGGCCCCCCGCUGCCGGGACCCCCCCUCAGCAUUACAAGGUACAAGGAGCUGUGUGCACCGUGAUAAAAAAGAGAUAAAACGGCCAACAAAUAUUCUUUUCAAGUGACCCAAUGACCCAACACCCGUGCGCUGCACUGCAGCAUUUUUUACCCAAUCACUUAAAACCACCCAAAAACCCCCAGGAGAAGAACAGGAAAAAGAAAGAAAGACAAGAAACAACACCCUAAAUAAAUCCUCUAUCUUGUCUCCUGCUCUCUAAACU
This 494-nucleotide long non-coding RNA is filed under the name Cyanistes caeruleus (blue tit). RNAcentral describes it as "lncRNA (ENSCCEG00000002922.1)". The record is from RNAcentral. Lineage: Eukaryota; Metazoa; Chordata; Aves; Passeriformes; Paridae.